UCAACUCAAAUUUGUAUGAAGUUGGAACAGCGCCCCUAGCGGCAAACGUAGGCAAACGUUCCAACUCCAUACAAAUAUGAGUUA
This 84-nucleotide microRNA precursor is filed under the name Bombyx mori (domestic silkworm). RNAcentral's name for it is "mir-2807 microRNA precursor family". It matches the Rfam family "mir-2807 microRNA precursor family". Lineage: Eukaryota; Metazoa; Arthropoda; Insecta; Lepidoptera; Bombycidae. The record is from Rfam by way of RNAcentral.